This 440-nucleotide ribosomal RNA is filed under the name uncultured bacterium. RNAcentral describes it as "partial 16S ribosomal RNA". It matches the Rfam family "Bacterial small subunit ribosomal RNA", at positions 338 to 795 of the family's 1533-position model. The record is from RNAcentral.
CCUACGGGUGGCAGCAGUAGGGAAUAUUGCUCAAUGGGGGAAACCCUGAAGCAGCAACGCCGCGUGGAGGAUGAAGGUUUUCGGAUUGUAAACUCCUUUUGUUAGAGAGGAUAAUGACGGUAUCUAACGAAUAAGCACUGGCUAACUCCGAGCCAGCAGCCGCGGUAAUACGGCGGGUGCAAGCGUUACUCGGAAUUACUGGGCGUAAAGAGCGCGUAGGCGGGUUAGCAAGUCAGAGGUGAAAGCCUAUGGCUUAACCAUAGAACUGUAUUUGAAACUGUUAUUAUAGAGUAUGGUAGAGGUAGGUGGAAUUCUAGGUGUAGGGGUAAAAUCCGUAGAGAUCAAGAGGAAUACCGAUUGCGAAGGCGACCUGCUAGAACAUAACUGACGCUGAGGCGCGAAAGCGUGGGGAGCAAACAGGAUUAGAUACCCCAGUAGUC